CUGAUUUGGGGAUUCACUCAUAUUAAAAUUUCAAUUUUAAUGCACAUUUUUAACUUUUGGUCUCUGUUAUAUAAAAUUAAUAACUGUUUCCUAAGCAGAUAAUUCAGAAUAGGUCAUGAUAUUCAUCGCAAUAUGGAAUAAAAAUCAAGAAAUCAUACAUGCUGUUAAAAUCGUAAAGGCAAAGAUAGUCAUAAAAAUGAGUGCACAUGUGAAUCAAGAUCAGAGCACAAGAAUGUUCAAGGUGGUUGCUAUAGGUUCCACAGAAGAAUAUAUUCUGGGAGAUACUGUUGAACCUGUCAUCCCUGAACCUGGGUUAAAAUAUGACGCUGACAAACUGGAAGAUGUGCAAGUAAAAUGCAAAACGGAACCUGAAGAUACUGAUAGCAAAAAAAAUGUAAUACAAGAUCUUGUUAAACUCGUAAAAUUAGAACACAGUGGUAACUUAUUGGAGGAAAAUCCUUUCAUGAUAUUACAGAAUGAACCACCAUGGGAUGAUGACGAUCUCGAAAGAAAACUAGAUCAGUUCACAAAUGAAUUGAAAAAUAAAGAGAGGAAAUUGAAAAGUCAUAAGAUGACCACAGAUGCAAUCUCAAGUCCUCAGGUAAAAUUCCAAUCAAAUGAUGUUCAUCCACGCAGUAUCAGAAGAAACUUAGUACAGACCAAGUUGAAAUUUCCUAAAGUUGAAGAUACAAAUAUGACUUUAAGACGAAGCCCAAGAAAGGUUUCAGUUGUCUGCAAAAACAAUGAAUUGAAGAAAUCCUUAGGUUUUACAGCACUAGCUGUUCCCAACCACCAUUAGAAAAAGUGAGAUUAUGAAGAAACAGGUGUUUCGUUCCAGUUUGUUACACUUUUUCUCAGAGAAGAAUCCUUGCUGCCACCAAAGCAAGGAGGAAAGUGAUGACUGAGUGCUGACUGGGGAUGAAAUAGUUGACGAUCUAUUUCUUCCAUCUGACUUUACGUCAGGGCCACCAAAUUAGACGAGUGUGACCUUUAAAUUAAUUAAAGACAAUAAUUGUUUUAAACUUUUUCACUUAAGCUAAUUAAGGAAACAAUUUUUCAACAAAACUGCAUGUUUGUAUGAUAUUUCAAUGUAAAAUAAAAUAGUUUACCAGGAAAAA
RNAcentral lists this unclassified non-coding RNA (1118 nucleotides) under Homalodisca vitripennis (glassy-winged sharpshooter). RNAcentral describes it as "uncharacterized LOC124359331, transcript variant X4". Lineage: Eukaryota; Metazoa; Arthropoda; Insecta; Hemiptera; Cicadellidae. The record is from RNAcentral.